AAAGAUCUGUAGCUCAGCCCAGCUACUGUAGAAUUGUUUUGGUAUGUUGUCGCCCAGAAUCUUGAUAUGAACUGCUUUAUAAUGUAGACUGUAUGAAGAACAGCAAAGGAUUGUAUUAGUGUGAAUCUGUAGGAGGAGAUAAAGAGAUAAAAAUGGCAGCUGCAAGAAACACUGAGUUUAACCUCAUUGGACCCCGUGGUGCUUCCUUAGGAGAGCAUCAGCCUGGCUCUGCGGUCACUCUCUCCUGUCACCUGUCUCCUGAAAUCAGUGCUGUUGCCAUGGAGAUCAGGUGGUUUAAGGGGACGGACUGUGUUUGUCUCUAUAAGAACAGGCAGGUGACAGAGGGGAGGGGCCUACGAGGGCAGAGUGAGUCUGUUCACUCAGGAGCUGCAGAGAGGAAACGUCUCCUUACAGAUCAGAGACUGUAGAUGAGUCAGAUAGAGGAGAUUAUCUGUGUCAGGUCACCAAUGGAGACACAACAGAGGAGUGUACAGUAGAAAUGAGGGACGCAAUGGGGGAGCGUUCCGAGAAAGAAACACCUAGAGGUGAGAAAUUGGUAAGUAAAGUACAUUUACUCCUACUGAAAGCUGAUACAUGGAUAACAUUUGAAGAAAGCAGAUUUUUGUAAUGGUCAGAUAAUGAACAAAGACUUUGAUCAGAGAAUGAAAGCUUUGAUUUCUUGAAGUUAUUUUUAGUUUUUCAUGUGUAACUUGUCGCCUCAAGCAUGAAAUCUCCAGGCUGUUUUAUUCAGUUCUACAGUCUGUAAUAAGACAGAUAAGAGAGGAGAGAAUGAAGAGGGAGAAGUGAAAGGCGCACUGAAAUAUAGAUUCUGAUAUUUGUAAACAUUGAUUCUACAUAAAUAAACUUUAUUACAUUAAUUACAUUAAUUUUAGUUUUUCCCCCUCACAGUCCAGUAUUCAGUAUCCAGUAUUUAAUAUAAAUGGACAGAGAUGGAUUGCAUAGCAUUUUUUGCAAUCAGAUCAGAGAGACAAACUUCUGCCCUCAUUACUUUUUUCUACUCAAAUGUUUAAAACAAUAAAAUGUCCUUUGUAUUACAAAAGUUAAUUUAUGUACAACAUAUGAACUGAACGAUAAGCCAGUCUGGGUUAAUCUCAUUAGGAAAUGACAGAAUCAGGUGUAAUAAUGAACACAAGGCUGUAAUGUGAGUGAGAAGCUCUGAAAGCUCUCGAGAGAAGCAGUUGGGCUGCUAGCAGAGAAGAUGGAA
This is a long non-coding RNA of Colossoma macropomum (tambaqui), 1225 nucleotides long. RefSeq lists it as uncharacterized. NCBI's taxonomy places the organism in Eukaryota, Metazoa, Chordata, Actinopteri, Characiformes, Serrasalmidae. The transcript is spliced from 6 exons. The record is from RefSeq and is a predicted model, not a curated record.